GAUGAACGCUGGCGGCGUGCCUAAUACAUGCAAGUCGAGCGAACGGACGAGAAGCUUGCUUCUCUGAUGUUAGCGGCGGACGGGUGAGUAACACGUGGAUAACCUACCUAUAAGACUGGGAUAACUUCGGGAAACCGGAGCUAAUACCGGAUAAUAUUUUGAACCGCAUGGUUCAAAAGUGAAAGACGGUCUUGCUGUCACUCAUAGAUGGAUCCGCGCUGCAUUAGCUAGUUGGUAAGGUAACGGCUUACCAAGGCAACGAUGCAUAGCCGACCUGAGAGGGUGAUCGGCCACACUGGAACUGAGACACGGUCCAGACUCCUACGGGAGGCAGCAGUAGGGAAUCUUCCGCAAUGGGCGAAAGCCUGACGGAGCAACGCCGCGUGAGUGAUGAAGGUCUUCGGAUCGUAAAACUCUGUGAUUAGGGAAGAACAUAUGUGUAAGUAACUGUGCACAUCUUGACGGUACCUAAUCAGAAAGCCACGGCUAACUACGUGCCAGCAGCCGCGGUAAUACGUAGGUGGCAAGCGUUAUCCGGAAUUAUUGAGCGUAAAGCGCGCGUAGGCGGUUUUUUAAGUCUGAUGUGAAAGCCCACGGCUCAACCGUGGAGGGUCAUUGGAAACUGGAAAACUUGAGUGCAGAAGAGGAAAGUGGAAUUCCAUGUGUAGCGGUGAAAUGCGCAGAGAUAUGGAGGAACACCAGUGGCGAAGGCGACUUUCUGGUCUGUAACUGACGCUGAUGUGCGAAAGCGUGGGGAUCAAACAGGAUUAGAUACCCUGGUAGUCCACGCCGUAAACGAUGAGUGCUAAGUGUUAGGGGGUUUCCGCCCCUUAGUGCUGCAGCUAACGCAUUAAGCACUCCGCCUGGGGAGUACGACCGCAAGGUUGAAACUCAAAGGAAUUGACGGGGACCCGCACAAGCGGUGGAGCAUGUGGUUUAAUUCGAAGCAACGCGAAGAACCUUACCAAAUCUUGACAUCCUUUGACAACUCUAGAGAUAGAGCCUUCCCCUUCGGGGGACAAAGUGACAGGUGGUGCAUGGUUGUCGUCAGCUCGUGUCGUGAGAUGUUGGGUUAAGUCCCGCAACGAGCGCAACCCUUAAGCUUAGUUGCCAUCAUUAAGUUGGGCACUCUAAGUUGACUGCCGGUGACAAACCGGAGGAAGGUGGGGAUGACGUCGAAUCAUCAUGCCCCUUAUGAUUUGGGCUACACACGUGCUACAAUGGACAAUACAAAGGGCAGCGAAACCGCGAGGUCAAGCAAAUCCCAUAAAGUUGUUCUCAGUUCGGAUUGUAGUCUGCAACUCGACUACAUGAAGCUGGAAUCGCUAGUAAUCGUAGAUCAGCAUGCUACGGUGAAUACGUUCCCGGGUCU
This 1372-nucleotide ribosomal RNA is filed under the name uncultured bacterium. Its description in RNAcentral is "bacterial SSU rRNA". It matches the Rfam family "Bacterial small subunit ribosomal RNA", at positions 28 to 1381 of the family's 1533-position model. The record is from RNAcentral.